CAGAGACAACGGGCUGCCUCGCUAAACGAUGCACACCUGUAACUCACGUGACCCUGGUUAUUAUUGAAACGAGAACGAGGGCGUCGUGCCUUUAUAAGACUGCGUUAAUGGUUCCGUGGAGUUAUCCCUUCCGUUGUUGUUUAUUGAUUGUUAAACAUGGCUUCAUUUACAAAGGUGGUUGUGUGUGUCCUCAUUGCUUGUGUCUGUAAUGCAUUCGGUUUUCCGAAGAGAGAUGUGAACUUUAAGGCCUCUGCAGUUGACCGCCAAAGUGAUGAUGUGGUUGUCACCACAACAGCCGUUCCCCACAACCAGACCACCUCUGCCCCUACUGAAGCUGGUGGUGAGCAAGUGAAGAUGCUGUGGCUACUACCCCAGCACCUAAUCCACACAACCAGACAACUUCUGCACAAACUGAAGUUACUGAUGGGGCCAGUGAAGAUGCUGUGGACCGCCAAAGUGAUGAUGUGGUUGUCGCCACAACACCCAAUCCCCACAACCAGACCACAUCUGCCCCUACUGAAGCUGGUGGAGAUGGAGCAGGUGAAGAUGAUUCAGAUGAUGAUGAUGAUGCAGAUGAUGAUGCAAGUGACGAUGAUGCAGAUGAUGAUGAUGCAAGUGAUGAUGCUGUGGCUACCACCCCAACACCAAAUCCACCAACUACAUCUGACCGCACUGCAGCUACCGAUGAUGCAAGUGAGGGUGCUGUGGCUGCCCAAACUGGAACUACUGUAUCCCAUACGACUGAAGUCUGAUUCGACUGCUCCUCUGGUCACAAUGACCUGUCUGGACUUUUUGCCUCUACAUGUUCACUGCAAUAAAGGACAGAUUUGUAUUUUUUUUUUAAUCAAAUGUUGUCUUGCCUUUUUCAAAUUGAGGCCUUGUCCUGUUUUGGUAGUGGAGAUAACUGACGCCUCUUUCCUAACGCACUACAUUUCUGGCAACUUAUAAUGCAUAGUGAACAUGUAAUAAUUCGGUGGUAUGAUCCCAGGAGAACAUUUUUAAGAAACAAAUCACAGAAUUGUGGUUCCUCGCCGUUUUUUUUUUAAUAUAAAUCGAGGCUUUCCUCAUAAUACCGCAAGAACAAAAAGGAAAUAAAAACUAAACGAGUCAAUUCCUCAAAAUGAUAUGAAUUGCUACUGCUGCACUCGUAAAACUUCUAACUAAACUGAAAUUAAAAACCAAACUGAAA
Molecule: long non-coding RNA, 1189 nt
Organism: Clupea harengus (Atlantic herring)
Lineage: Eukaryota; Metazoa; Chordata; Actinopteri; Clupeiformes; Clupeidae
Source: Ensembl